GUGAGGAAUAUUGGUCAAUGGGCGCAAGCCUGAACCAGCCAUGCCGCGUGCAGGAAGACGGUCCUAUGGAUUGUAAACUGCUUUUAUUUGGGAAUAAACCUCCUUACGUGUAGGGAGCUGAAGGUACCAAAUGAAUAAGCACCGGCUAACUCCGUGCCAGCAGCCGCGGUAAUACGGAGGGUGCAAGCGUUAUCCGGAAUCAUUGGGUUUAAAGGGUCCGCAGGCGGUCAUAUAAGUCAGUGGUGAAAGCCUACAGCUCAACUGUAGAACUGCCAUUGAUACUGUAUGACUUGAAUUCGAUCGAAGUGGGCGGAAUGUGACAUGUAGCGGUGAAAUGCUUAGAUAUGUCACAGAACACCGAUAGCGAAGGCAGCUCACUAGGUCUGGAUUGACGCUCAGGGACGAAAGCGUGGGGAGCAAACAGGAUUAGAUACCCUUGUAGUCC
Molecule: ribosomal RNA, 445 nt
Filed under: uncultured bacterium
Lineage: Bacteria
Description: partial 16S ribosomal RNA
Rfam family: Bacterial small subunit ribosomal RNA
Source: RNAcentral